GCUGGGUGCAAUGGCACGCACCUGUAAUUCCAGAGACUGGGGAGGCUGAGGCAGGAGGAUUACAAGUUCAAGGAAAGCUUCAGUAAUUUAGCAAUGCCUUAAGUAAUUUAGUGAGACCCUCUCUU
Molecule: small RNA, 125 nt
Filed under: Marmota monax (woodchuck)
Lineage: Eukaryota; Metazoa; Chordata; Mammalia; Rodentia; Sciuridae
Source: RNAcentral